This 163-nucleotide non-coding RNA is filed under the name pig gut metagenome. RNAcentral describes it as "Lysine riboswitch". It matches the Rfam family "Lysine riboswitch aptamer". From Rfam's summary of the family: Riboswitches are metabolite binding domains within certain messenger RNAs that serve as precision sensors for their corresponding targets. The record is from RNAcentral.
GAAUAGAGGCGCGGUCUUUAUGAUAAUUUGUCGCAGAGGUUUAAGCGGCAAAGGUAAAGGAAAGAUCGCCGAAGAAAGUAAAUUUCCUCAAAAUUUGCUUAUCUGGGCGCAAGGGAAACACCUUUGCGACUGUCGCGGGUUUGUUUCCGCGUUGCGCUAUUGA